This 406-nucleotide ribosomal RNA is filed under the name uncultured bacterium. Its description in RNAcentral is "partial 16S ribosomal RNA". It matches the Rfam family "Bacterial small subunit ribosomal RNA", at positions 30 to 526 of the family's 1533-position model. The record is from RNAcentral.
AUUGAACGCUGGCGGCAGGCCUAACACAUGCAAGUCGAACGAGUGGCGGACGGGUGAGUAAUGUCUGUGAAACUGCCCGAUGGAGGGGGAUAACUACUGGAAACGGUAGCGAAUACACCGCACCAUCGGAUGUGCCCAGAUGGGAUUAGCUUGUAGGUGAGGUAACGGCUCACCUAGGCGACGCUCCCUAGCUGGUCUGUGAGGAUGACCAGCCACACUUGAACGGAGACACGGUCCAGACUCCUACGGGAGGCAGCAGUGGGGAAUAUUGGACAAUGGGCGAAAGCCUGAUCCAGCCAUGCCGCGUGUGUGAAGAAGGUCUUCGGAUUGUAAAGCACUUUAAGUUGGGAGGCGUUACCAACAGAAUAAGCACCGGCUAACUUCGUGCCAGCAGCCGCGGUAAUAC